Molecule: ribosomal RNA, 254 nt
Filed under: uncultured bacterium
Lineage: Bacteria
Description: partial 16S ribosomal RNA
Rfam family: Bacterial small subunit ribosomal RNA
Source: RNAcentral
UACGGAGGGUGCGAGCGUUGUCCGGAAUCACUGGGCGUAAAGGGCGCGUAGGUGGCCUGUGGAAGUCUGCGGUGAAAGCCCGGCGCUCAACGCCGGGUCGGCCGUGGAUACUCUCGGGCUUGAGCUUACUAGAGGCAGAUGGAAUUCCGGGUGUAGCGGUGGAAUGCGUAGAGAUCCGGAAGAACACCGGUGGCGAAGGCGGCCUGCUGGGCUAUGGCUGACACUGAGGCGCGACAGCGUGGGGAGCAAACAGG